CUCGCCUGGAGAGAGCAAAGCGGGCAGGUGUGGGCUCAUCCCCAAGAACACGGGGCCGGCUGCUCAACCACUUAAUGACUCAAAACUUCCACGCCUUCCUCAGGACACACAGCUGGGGUGCAGACGAUCAGGAACAGCCACCAGUGAAAGCCAGUGCCCCCCCCUUCUGCGCAAGGACUACUAAUGGUCAGAGAUCCCGAGUGGGUGAACGAGCAAGAACCAGGAGCGGUAUGUGGGCCUAAGGAAACCACAGACGUGGCUGUCGGCAGGCUCCGGGCCUCCGUGCUCACUCACCUCAGCCGGUUCUUCAGGGUGCUGACCUCGCGGCUCAGGCCCUCGUUGGCCUCGGUGGCGUCAUCCAGUUCCCGCUGGAGUUUGCGCCGAGACGCGUUGGCACGUGUGGCUUCUUCUUCUGCCUCCUCUAGCUGCCGUUUGAGCUGCUUCAUCCUGGCGUUGGCCUUCUCCAUCUGGGGGAGUUACACGAACCAAGUCACACCAAACUGGGGAAUCCGAAUUUGGCAUCACAGCGUCCUGAGUGUGAUCUCAGAUCCCUGCCCAGCUCAGCCGUGUGAGCACAUGCAGGUACAUACGAGUGUGCACUGACGCACUCCCCAGACGGGGGCCUGGAUGGAUGGAGGCCUUCUCAUCAGCCUGCCAUUCUCAGCAAAGCCAGUGUCUACACAGCAAAUUAUGCUAAAGGAAAUAUUUAAAAAAAACUUGAAAACCCUAUCUCCAGCCUUGAUUUUUCUAUGGAAAAAUGACAGCGUAGAAUCUUCGCACGAGCGACCUAUGGGAUGGUGAAAGGGAACUGCUGUUCUCACAAAAUGCACAUGGACGGUCUCCAACCCCAGGAGAUGGUACAUUCAUUGAACACCUCCUUUCAACAUGGGUAUGUCAACAUUAUAUUUUGAUUCAAGUACAGAGCCACUCUGGAAGACCUGACGUGAGGACUCAGCCUGCCCCCGGAUCACUCACUCCUGAGCCAUACGGAGACUGGCCAGUGUCCUUCAGGCCCAGCUCAUGCCCACCCAGAACUGCCCUCGGGUUGCUAGGCCCUGAGUGUGGGGGUUGUAAGGAAGGCUGGGUAUCUGACUGGAGCAAGCGAGAGAAGGGGGGUGGUCUGGGCCAAAGGCGUGGAUCCUCAGCUCCACCCCCGGCGGCAAGUCUCAGGAAAGCCAGCAGGAAUGCACAGCCCUCGAGGCUGGAGCCGAUGCAGAGCUGACCACAGUCCGAAGUCCUAGCAGAACAGGCCCUUGAUACUGAGAAAACAGGUGCCUGGACACAGAUGAGGAAGGCCACUCAGGUCCUACAUGCAUUCCUCUUCCCAGCCAGUAUUCAGCAACUGCCCACUGUGCCCAGGGACUAGUCAAGCAUUCAAGAGAUGACAGUGCGUGAAACAGGUAGAAAUUUGCGCUCAUGAAGCGUCCAUACUGGUGGAGGAAACGCAGAUGAUAACUAAGACUCAUUUCAGACCCCACACUUACAGCCCUGGGACCUGCUCUCGCCCACCCCUCCUCUGUGUCUCGGGGGCACUUGGCAGGGCUUGAGGGGCGGGCUGUGUCCUCAUCACCCCUGUAUCCCUAGCACCCGGGAGCGCCUGGCAGGAACAAGGAAGAUUUGUUGACUUGUUGAAACAUUCAAAUAGCUCUUCCCAAUUCAUCUGGUCACAUGGUAACGGUUGGCUGGUUCUGCCUCUGUCUCCUGGCGACAGCAUCUAAGGUGGAAGCCACGUUCAUCCUGCCCGUCCCGUCCCUCACCUGCUCUUUAUACUGGUCCGCGUGUCGACGCUCGUCUUCAACCUGCAUGAAGAUUUCCUUCAGCUUUUUCUCAGUACGACGCACUAGUUUGUUGGCGGCUGCUCUUUCCCUGCGAAAGUCACCAGGAUGUUAGUUAGUUCUCAUGGUUCUUGAUGUGACAGUCGGAACGGGGAA
Molecule: non-coding RNA, 1931 nt
Organism: Vicugna pacos (alpaca)
Lineage: Eukaryota; Metazoa; Chordata; Mammalia; Artiodactyla; Camelidae
Source: RefSeq, a predicted model, not a curated record